AUUGAACGCUGGCGGCGUGCUUAACACAUGCAAGUCGAACGGAAUUUAGGCUUCGGUUUAAAUUUAGUGGCGCACGGGUGAGUAACGCGUGGAUGAUCUACCCUUGAGUUUGGGAUAACAGCGGGAAACUGUUGCUAAUACCGGAUAACAUCACAUUUCGUAUUUGUGAUCAAAGGCGGCGAGAGCUGUCGCUUGGGGAUGAGUCCGCGUCUCAUUAGCUAGGCGGUGGGGUAAAGGCUUACCGAGGCAACGAUGAGUAGCCGGUCUGAGAGGAUGAUCGGCCACACUGGGACUGGAACACGGCCCAGACUCCUACGGGAGGCAGCAGUGGGGAAUAUUGCGCAAUGGGCGAAAGCCUGACGCAGCGACGCCGCGUGAGGGAUGAAGGUCGUCGGAUCGUAAACCUCUGUCAGAAGGAAAGAAAUGUUAUGGGAGUAACUGCCUGUAAUUUGACGGUACCUUCAGAGGAAGCACCGGCUAACUCCGUGCCAGCCGCCGCAUAACAC
This 506-nucleotide ribosomal RNA is filed under the name uncultured bacterium. RNAcentral's name for it is "bacterial SSU rRNA". It matches the Rfam family "Bacterial small subunit ribosomal RNA", at positions 30 to 526 of the family's 1533-position model. The record is from RNAcentral.